Molecule: long non-coding RNA, 685 nt
Organism: Oncorhynchus tshawytscha (Chinook salmon)
Lineage: Eukaryota; Metazoa; Chordata; Actinopteri; Salmoniformes; Salmonidae
Exons: 3
Source: RefSeq, a predicted model, not a curated record
GCUUGUAAUGCAGAACGCAUAUCCCUGUGUGUGUUGAUGCUGUCUGAUCUGGAUUUUAGCUUGUGGGAUUCCCAGUCGGAUAUGGUUCAGCAGCCACAGCAAGGUGUGGUCAUCUAUGGUGUCUACAAAAAAACAAAAAAAGACACUCUUGGAGCCUCUUAAUGAGUGUAUUCACAUAAGGAUGUUGAAACGACGACAUUCUCCAGAGCUUGGCAGAAGUAGCAGCAGUAACCGUGGGAGGACGGAGCCGUGGAAAGGUCAAUCCAAUCAAAUAAGGGCAUUGUCAAGGUGGAAGUGUCACCAAGAGGAGGAGACAAGGACCGCAAACUCUGCCAGAAAGAACUCUUCUGGAUUUAUACUUGAGGCACCCUAAAGCCGUUAGGAUAUAAUAAGAAUUUAAUAUGAGGGUCAUGUUGUAAUUCCCACUGUCAUUAUCUUAGCUUCACACACACGCACGCAUGCACACACACACCGGUGUAGGUGUCCUGUAAUCAUGAAGGCCCUAGUGCCUGAUAGGUUACCUUAACCUUUAUCUAGUUGUUUUCUAGAGUUCUGCAUACAGUACCAGUCAAACGUUUGGACACACCUGCCCAUUCCAGGGUGUUUCAUUAUUUUCAUAUUUUCUACAUUGUAGAAUAAUAGUGAAGACAUCAAAACUAUGAAAUAACACAUAUGGCAUCAUGUA